Molecule: non-coding RNA, 875 nt
Organism: Pimephales promelas (fathead minnow)
Lineage: Eukaryota; Metazoa; Chordata; Actinopteri; Cypriniformes; Leuciscidae
Source: RefSeq, a predicted model, not a curated record
UUUUCAACCGCGAGCGACGGGAAUCCGAUUGAGGAACACCCCAGAAAUGGCUCGGCUACGAUAUUCCGAUAAAGAAGUCACGCCGGGUGUUGAAUAUUGUCAGAUUCAGAUGCAUCAAUGAGAGUCAGUAAUGCAGUGGAUAACUAUGAGGAUGAUCACAUCCACAUGCCCCACAGCUGUGAUGCAGAAUCACAAUGGGAGGAUCAAUCUGUCUUUGGCCACAACCUGAUCUUCUCAGAGAGACUCUCCAGCGUCUUGAUGCUCUUUAGCGAAAGUAUGAGCAGCACAGACUAACGUUACAUGAAGAAUCUUACAACGCUUCGAAAAGAAUAAAAAAGGCACAUGACGUGAACAUUGCGGAAUCUGUAAGGCGCCUCCAUAAUUCAGAGAACAACCCACACAAAUACGUUCCACAAACCAGAAUAAAUUCAUCACAUAACCUGGCUGUGACCACUUACCUCUUCGAAGAAUUAAGGUCAACUUUUACAGACGUUGACCCUGAAUGUGUAAAAGCAGGUUGGAAGAUGUAUUUUGAGACUUUGCGGAGGAAGUAUUCUUUGGCUCAGCCUGAAAAGGCCCAGAAAAGAAAAACUAUGACGAGCAUUGCAAAGAACCUUCAGAGAAAGCGACUGUUGCUGGAGACCAGGUCCGGGGUUGUACAAACCAACACAGAAAAGGAACUUUGGAAGACCGCAACAAUAGAACUGAUGUCUGAUGAAGAUGAUGCUAUUGUUGAUGAAAGGCCAGUGUGAAUGGUGAGGUCUCCACCAAUCUGCUCUCUGCUAGGUACUAUAAAACAGACUAGAGGCUGACCCACACUAUGCGUCACACCACCAGCGUAUCAUGGCAGUUUGAAAAAUGUUAACUCGUAUAAA